GGACUCGUAGCUCAACGGUUAGAGCAGCCAGUUUGAAUACUGUGCGGUUUGCAGGUUCGAAUCCUGCCGAGUUCA
This 75-nucleotide transfer RNA is filed under the name Aeribacillus pallidus. It matches the Rfam family "tRNA". From Rfam's summary of the family: Transfer RNA (tRNA) molecules are approximately 80 nucleotides in length. Their secondary structure includes four short double-helical elements and three loops (D, anti-codon, and T loops). The record is from Rfam by way of RNAcentral. RNAcentral also lists the same sequence under 7 other names. Lineage: Bacteria; Bacillati; Bacillota; Bacilli; Caryophanales; Bacillaceae.